AGAGUUUGAUCCUGGCUCAGGAUGAACGCUAGCGACAGGCCUAACACAUGCAAGUCGAGGGGUAUGGCAGCAAUGCCAGAGACCGGCGCACGGGUGAGUAACGCGUAUGCAACCUGCCUAUGACAGGGGGAUAGCUCCCGGAAACGGGGAUUAACACCGCAUGACACAACGGGGCCGCAUGGCCUUGUUGUCAAACAUUCAUGGGUCAUAGAUGGGCAUGCGUGGCAUUAGGUAGUUGGCGGGGUAACGGCCCACCAAGCCCACGAUGCCUAGGGGUUCUGAGAGGAAGGCCCCCCACACUGGUACUGAGACACGGACCAGACUCCUACGGGAGGCAGCAGUGAGGAAUAUUGGUCAAUGGGCGAGAGCCUGAACCAGCCAUGUCGCGUGCGGGACGACGGCCCUACGGGUUGUAAACCGCUUUUGUACGGGAAGAAAAACCCCGACGUGUCGGGGCUUGCCGGUACCGUACGAAUAAGGAUCGGCUAACUCCGUGCCAGCGGCCGCGGUAAUACGGAGGAUCCGAGCGUUAUCCGGAUUUAUUGGGUUUAAAGGGUGCGUAGGCGGGCUUUUAAGUCAGCGGUGAAAGUUUGGCGCUCAACGUUAAAAUUGCCGUUGAUACUGGGGGCCUUGAGUGCGGUUGAGGUAGGCGGAAUGUGGUGUGUAGCGGUGAAAUGCUUAGAUAUGCCACAGAACACCGAUUGCGAAGGCAGCUUACUAAAGCGCAACUGACGCUGAUGCACGAAAGCGCGGGGAUCGAACAGGAUUAGAUACCCUGGUAGUCCGCGCCGUAAACGAUGGUCACUCGCUGUUCGCGAUACACCGCGAGCGGCCAAGGGAAACCGAUAAGUGACCCACCUGGGGAGUACGCCCGCAAGGGUGAAACUCAAAGGAAUUGACGGGGGCCCGCACAAGCGGAGGAACAUGUGGUUUAAUUCGAUGAUACGCGAGGAACCUUACCCGGGUUUAAAUGGGGAACGACAGGUGUGGAAACAUGCCCUUCUUCGGACGUUCUCCAAGGUGCUGCAUGGUUGUCGUCAGCUCGUGCCGUGAGGUGUCGGGUUAAGUCCCAUAACGAGCGCAACCCACGUCGUUAGUUGCCAUCAGGUAGUGCUGGGCACUCUAACGAGACUGCCGGUGUAAACCGCGAGGAAGGUGUGGACGACGUCAAAUCAGCACGGCCCUUACACCCGGGGCGACACACGUGUUACAAUGGCCGGUACAGAGGGCAGCCACCCCGCGAGGGGGCGCGAAUCUCCAAAGCCGGUCCCAGUUCGGAUCGGGGUCUGCAACCCGACCCCGUGAAGCUGGAUUCGCUAGUAAUCGCGCAUCAGCCAUGGCGCGGUGAAUACGUUCCCGGGCCUUGCACUCACCGCCCGUCA
Molecule: ribosomal RNA, 1382 nt
Filed under: uncultured bacterium
Lineage: Bacteria
Description: bacterial SSU rRNA
Rfam family: Bacterial small subunit ribosomal RNA
Source: RNAcentral